CAGCCAUUGAUAUUUUCCUACUAAUCUGUCCAUAACUCUGUAGUGUUUGUAUUGUUCCUAUGCUAUUUCAUAAAUGGAUAUAUGCUUAUUACUAUGUGUUUCCUACAACAACCAUUGAGAAUAGUCAAUGAAUAUUCAAUUGGUCACUCAUGUACAGCUCUAUUUAUUUUCUUUAGAAACCACUUUGAAGAUACCAAAGUAUAGUGCAACAACCAUCAAUAAUAACCUAUCACUUUUGUCUGUAGCUCACUGUCAUUUGUCUAUUUGUUUUCCUGAGAAACUAUCUUGUAGAUAACAAUGUGUAAAACAACCACCAUUGAUAAUUUCCUACCAUUUUGUCUGUAAUUUGGUAAGCCCCCCUAUUACUAUUUAUCCUUCUUUUACUCUUUAAAAUUAAAAAAAAAAAGAAAGAGGCAAUUCUCUGGUGGACAUCCAUAGAUAUCCUUCAAGGUGCUUUCCAAAAAAUACCAGGUGCUCUGUGGAUCUGCACCAACUGGAAUCUGGUGGUGCAGAUCCCAGUACAGUGUCUGAGUUUAAGUGGUUAUGUAUCUCACUUUAUUGUACCUCCUCUCCAUCAAUCUUAUUUGCCAUCAUUAAGUUUCAGGUUACCAUAGGAACAGAAUGGAUUAUAAACUUACAGGACAGCAAUUUGUACAAGAUGCUGUUGAUGCUGUUAAAGUCUUUCUUCCCUGGAUAUGGGCCACAAAUAGGGGCUGUCUAGGCCUGCUGCCCUUAACUCCCAAGCUGCCAGCAAGUUCCUUGCACCACGGAGGGAGAGCAGAAGCCAGCAGGGACAAUGGAAGAGCAGCAGAGAGAAACCUACUCUGGAUGUUCUUAGUUGACCUCAGGAGCAGGAGGACUUAA
RNAcentral lists this long non-coding RNA (864 nucleotides) under Chinchilla lanigera (long-tailed chinchilla). RNAcentral's name for it is "lncRNA (ENSCLAG00000027094.1)". The record is from RNAcentral. Lineage: Eukaryota; Metazoa; Chordata; Mammalia; Rodentia; Chinchillidae.